GACGUAGGGCGCGAGCGUUGUCCGGAUUUAUCGGGCGUAAAGAGCUCGUAGGCGGUUUGUCGCGUCUGCCGUGAAAGUCCGGGGCUCAACUCCGGAUCUGCGGUGGGUACGGGCAGACUAGAGUGAUGUAGGGGAGACUGGAAUUCCUGGUGUAGCGGUGAAAUGCGCAGAUAUCAGGAGGAACACCGAUGGCGAAGGCAGGUCUCUGGGCAUUAACUGACGCUGAGGAGCGAAAGCAUGGGGAGCGAACAGG
This 253-nucleotide ribosomal RNA is filed under the name uncultured bacterium. RNAcentral describes it as "partial 16S ribosomal RNA". It matches the Rfam family "Bacterial small subunit ribosomal RNA", at positions 524 to 776 of the family's 1533-position model. The record is from RNAcentral.